GACGAAGUGGCCGAGUGGUUAAGGCGAUGGAUUGCUAAUCCAUUGGGCUAUGCCCGCGUGGGUUCGAAUCCCAUCCUCGUCG
RNAcentral lists this transfer RNA (82 nucleotides) under Limulus polyphemus (Atlantic horseshoe crab). RNAcentral describes it as "tRNA-Ser". It matches the Rfam family "tRNA". Rfam says of the family: Transfer RNA (tRNA) molecules are approximately 80 nucleotides in length. Lineage: Eukaryota; Metazoa; Arthropoda; Merostomata; Xiphosura; Limulidae. The record is from RNAcentral.